Molecule: ribosomal RNA, 440 nt
Filed under: uncultured bacterium
Lineage: Bacteria
Description: partial 16S ribosomal RNA
Rfam family: Bacterial small subunit ribosomal RNA
Source: RNAcentral
CCUACGGGGUGCAGCAGUGGGGGAUAUUGCACAAUGGGGGGAACCCUGAUGCAGCGACGCCGCGUGGGUGAAGAAGCGCCUCGGCGCGUAAAGCCCUGUCAGCAGGGAAGAAAAUGACGUUUCCUGAAGAAGAAGCCCCGGUUAACUACGUGCCAGCAGCCGCGGUAAUACGUAGGGGGCAAGCGUUAUCCGGAUUGACUGGUUGUAAAGGGGGCGCAGACGGCGAUGCAAGCCAGGAGUGACAGCCCGGGGCCCAACCCCGGGACUGCUCUUGGAACUGGGAGGCUGGAGUGUAGGAGGGGCAGGCGGAAGUCCUGGUGUAGGGGUGAAAUGCGUAGAUAUCAGGAGGAACACCGGUGGCGAAGGCGGCCUGCUGGACUGCAACUGACGUUGAGGCCCGAAAGCGUGGGGAGCAAACAGGAUUAGAUACCCUUGUAGUC